This 463-nucleotide ribosomal RNA is filed under the name uncultured bacterium. Its description in RNAcentral is "partial 16S ribosomal RNA". It matches the Rfam family "Bacterial small subunit ribosomal RNA", at positions 28 to 507 of the family's 1533-position model. The record is from RNAcentral.
GAUGAACGCUGACAGAAUGCUUAACACAUGCAAGUCUUUGGCGAAUCUGUGCUUGCACAGGCUAGCCAAGGCGGACGGGUGAGUAACGCGUAAAGAACUUGCCCUGCAGACAGGGAUAACAGACGGAAACGACUGAUAACACCUGAUACAGUUGCCGGCACGCAUGUGCCUGGCAAUGAAAAGAGAUGCUGCAGGAGAGCUUUGCGUCCUAUUAGCUUGUUGGUGAGGUGACGGCUCACCAAGGCGAUGAUAGGUAGCCGGCCUGAGAGGGUGAACGGCCACAAGGGGACUGAGAGACGGCCCUUACUCCUACGGGAGGCAGCAGUGGGGAAUAUUGGACAAUGGGGGCAACACUGAUCCAGCAAUUCUGUGUGCACGAAGAAGGUUUUCGGAUUGUAAAGUGCUUUCAGCAGGGAAGAAGAAAGUGACGGUACCUGCAGAAGAAGCGACGGCUAAAUACGUG